UUUGGUUCUAGCAGAGAUAUGACAUACCAGCAUAAGGAAUUCUCAUCAGGUUUAGAGAAACUGUGACAUAUUCUGAACCAGUCAGAUACAAUGAACCUUGAAAAUCAAAACUCUAUUUACCCUUACUGUUGUGUAACCAUUUGCAUUUUGUCUGUCUAACUUCUCUUACCAUAAUUCCAUGUUACAAGUUAAUGGAUAUUUGAGCAUAUUAGGUAGCUGGAAAACAAACUUCUGAGGUUCAUCCAUGAAUGGACUCAUACACAAAUGUGUAUGACCAUUUUAACCUGAUAUGGUAGGAGAUUCUCCAAUAGGAUAUUUGCUUGGAGGGAAUCAUGAAUAGCAGAAAAGCUAGCAACACUGAGACCAAAACUCACAGUGAAGAACUGUUAACUCUCCUUGGACCAGCAUAUAGACAGAACCAAGACACUACAUCUUUUUGCUUUGCUUCUCCAUCAUCACGUAACAGAGAGUUCAAGGAAACUGAGGACACUCCCCAGAUUUUUCUAACAAUCAACACCUGGAUAUCAGCACAACUGCAGGGGGCAUUUCCAUG
Passer domesticus (house sparrow) is the source of this 553-nucleotide long non-coding RNA. RefSeq lists it as uncharacterized. NCBI's taxonomy places the organism in Eukaryota, Metazoa, Chordata, Aves, Passeriformes, Passeridae. The transcript has 4 exons. The record is from RefSeq and is a predicted model, not a curated record.